RNAcentral lists this ribosomal RNA (406 nucleotides) under uncultured bacterium. Its description in RNAcentral is "partial 16S ribosomal RNA". It matches the Rfam family "Bacterial small subunit ribosomal RNA", at positions 29 to 526 of the family's 1533-position model. The record is from RNAcentral.
AUUGAACGCUGGCGGCAGGCCUAACACAUGCAAGUCGAACGAGUGGCAGACGGGUGAGUAAUGUCUGGGAAACUGCCUGAUGGAGGGGGAUAACUACUGGAAACGGUAGCUAAUACCGCAUACCAUCGGGUGUGCCCAGAUGGGAUUAGCGAGUAGGUGGGGUAACGGCGCACAGGGGCGACGAUCCCUAGAUGGUCUGAGAGGAUGACCAGCCAGACUGGAACUGAGACACGGUCCAGACUCCGACGGGAGGCAGCAGUGGGGAAUAUUGCACAAUGGGCGCAAGCCUGAUGCAGCCAUGCCGCGUGUAUGAAGAAGGCCUUCGGGUUGUAAAGUACUUUCAGCGAGGAGGCGUUACUCGCAGAAGAAGCACCGGCUAACUCCGUGCCAGUAGCCGCGGUAAUAC